Molecule: non-coding RNA, 1901 nt
Organism: Chlorocebus sabaeus (green monkey)
Lineage: Eukaryota; Metazoa; Chordata; Mammalia; Primates; Cercopithecidae
Source: the annotation of a RefSeq genome assembly
AUAUAUAAGAUUUACAAAAAGUAAUCGAAGAAAAGAAUAAAUAAAAAUUUAAAUAGUGAAAAAUGAUACAUUUAUUCUGAUCCUACUUUCACAUUACAAUUUGAUGUUCUCAAUUUAGGUUACUGCCAUGAAGUUCAACAUUUUAAAGUCAAUAUCAUUUUUACUCAAUUUUUUUCACCAACUAUGUUAAAACAUCUUAUGCCAGUGCAUUUCUCAGAGGAUAAUCGGACAAGCUUUGUGUGGAAUAAUAAUACCUAGAGCUCUGUUUGGUUUUUCUGGGUGUGUGUUCCUUACCAAGUAAAUCAGGCAUUGUAUUAAAUCAUUGAAGAUCACAUAGCACUAGAAACUACUUUUUUAAUCGCUCCCAGGAUUUUUGUUUUUUUCAGGACAGUGACAGUCCUUGUGACAUGAUUUGAUGGAUGCACCAUUAUACAGUAGCUGCUAAAUUCAAUAGUAAGCACAUCACUGACAAAUGAGGAAUACUCAGGUUGUUUUCCUAUUGUAACGAUCCGCUGUGUGGUAGAUUCAUAUCCCUGAGCUGUGAUCAUCUUUCAGUGAAAACCUAGGAAAAUGUCAUCCAUAGUACUGCCAACCCUGAGACUUAAAACUGUGGAUUCAGUUCUUGCUUUUCCUACAUAGAGAAUCUCCUUUUGAACAGUGGUCUCAUAGCUGUAGCUGUGCCACAUACAGGUCCGGGGGGAGGCACGGGUUCACACUCAGAGUUGGCAAAAAUUUGGAAGCCCUGACAUCCUAUAAAAUGUUACUUGCCCAGAAUUGAAACUUUCAAAUUCAGGUCCUUCUUCCUACUCUACUGAUGAAUUAGAUUUUCUUAGUUUCCCACCAAGGGACACUUUCUAUCACAUUGCUCACAGACAAGACAUAUCUACCCUCCUUCACCCUCACCCAGUGGCUCUUUUCACACCACUGCACCCACCAGGGCAUUUGCAUAUUGUCCUCUAGGGAGGACCUUCCCUUGUGAGUCUGAGAUAAAAACUCAACUCUAACCUUGUCUGAUCAGGACUCCUCAGUUCACUUUCUCACAAUGAGGCUCCCUGCUCAGCUCCUGGGGCUGCUGAUGCUCUGGGUCCCUGGAUCCAUUGGGGAUGUUGUGAUGACCCAGACUCCACUCUCCCUGCCCGUCACCCCUGGAGAGCCGGCCUCCAUCUCCUGCAGGUCUAGUCAGAGCCUCCUGCAUAGUAAUGGAUACACCUAUUUGUAUUGGUAUCUGCAGAAGCCAGGCCAGUCUCCGCAGCUCCUGAUUUAUGGGGGUUCCAACAGAGCCUCUGGAGUGCCAGUCAGGUUCAGUGGCAGUGGGUCAGGCACUGAUUUCACACUGAAAAUCAGCAAGGUGGAGGCUGAGGAUGUUGGGGUUUAUUACUGCCUGCAAGGUAUAGCGCUUCCUCCCACAGUGCUACAGACCAAUACAGAAACCUCCCUGCUGGGGUGUCCCAGCUGCUCACUUGCACUGCUUGUCUGGGGGGUAGCUGGCAGGGUCUCUGAGUCUGCAGAAGAGGAGACUGUUGGAGAAGUCAGGGGCAGGGCUUGCUGUUGAGGACUCUGGCCCAUGAGCGUCUCAGCAGCACCUCAGUCCCACAUGGUCAAAGCUUUUUAAGUUUUCAGGCUCAUCACCACCCUGCCUGUCUUGCCCACAUUUGCCAAUUACAUUCAGUCAGCAUAACAGCCAGAACAUAGGUGCAGUUUAGUGACAACACAAGUGGAAUCCAUGUGGAAAAUGAUCAGCUUGGGGUUUAUUUUACACAAGUUAAUACUUGGUGCUAAUACUUGGAAUUAUUGGGAAAUCGGCAUUUUCCCACUUUCCUUACUUUCUGUUUCACUUUACCACUCACACUAGAUCAUAAACAACAGAACUGUGGUUAAGAAACAGAUUAAAAAAAAAAAAA